Non-coding RNA from Podarcis lilfordi (Lilford's wall lizard), 74 nucleotides. The record is from the annotation of a GenBank genome assembly. NCBI's taxonomy places the organism in Eukaryota, Metazoa, Chordata, Lepidosauria, Squamata, Lacertidae.
GGAGCCAUAGCUCAGUGGGUAGAGCAAUCUGCUCUGCAUGCAGACAGUCCCAGGUUCAAUUCCCUGCAUCUCCA